This 253-nucleotide ribosomal RNA is filed under the name uncultured bacterium. RNAcentral's name for it is "partial 16S ribosomal RNA". It matches the Rfam family "Bacterial small subunit ribosomal RNA", at positions 524 to 776 of the family's 1533-position model. The record is from RNAcentral.
UACGUAGGGGGCGAGCGUUGUCCGGAUUUAUUGGGCGUAAAGAGCGUGUAGGCGGUUCGGUAAGUCUGUCGUGAAAUCCUGAGGCUCAACCUCGGGCGUGCGAUGGAUACUGCCGGGCUAGAGGGUGGUAGAGGCGAGUGGAAUUCCCGGUGUAGCGGUGAAAUGCGCAGAUAUCGGGAGGAACACCAGUAGCGAAGGCGGCUCUCUGGACCAGCACUGACACUGAGGCACGAAAGCGUGGGGAGCAAACAGG